Molecule: ribosomal RNA, 497 nt
Filed under: uncultured bacterium
Lineage: Bacteria
Description: partial 16S ribosomal RNA
Rfam family: Bacterial small subunit ribosomal RNA
Source: RNAcentral
GAUGAACGCUGGCGGCGUGCCUAAUACAUGCAAGUCGAGCGAACGGACGAGAAGCUUGCGUCUCUGAUGUUAGCGGCGGACGGGUGAGUAACACGUGGAUAACCUACCUAUAAGACUGGGAUAACUUCGGGAAACCGGAGCUAAUACCGGAGAAUAUUUUGAACCGCAUGGUUCAAAAGUGAAAGACGGUCGUGCUGGCACGUAUAGAGGGAUCCGCGCUGCAUUAGCUAGUUGGUAAGGUAACGGCUUACCAAGGCGACGAUGCAUAGCCGACCUGAGAGGGUGAUCGGCCACACUGGAACUGAGACACGGUCCAGGCUCCUACGGGAGGCAGCAGUAGGGAAUCUUCCGCAAUGGGCGAAAGCCUGACGGAGCAACGCCGCGUGAGUGAUGAAGGUCUUCGGAUCGUAAAACUCUGUUAUUAGUGAAGAACAUAUGUGUAAGUAACUGUGCACAUCUUGACGGUACCUAAUCAGAAAGCCACGGCUAACUACGUG